Molecule: long non-coding RNA, 631 nt
Filed under: Phasianus colchicus (ring-necked pheasant)
Lineage: Eukaryota; Metazoa; Chordata; Aves; Galliformes; Phasianidae
Description: lncRNA (ENSPCLG00000017034.1)
Source: RNAcentral
UGUGGGGCAAAGAGGGGUGGAGGGGGGAACUUGUGGGGCUGAGAAGGGGACGCUUGUGGGGCCGCCCCCCAAGUCCUGCCCCACAACCGCAGGCGCUUGGCAGCGUUUUGCUGCCCCUUGGCUUCUGGAUGCUGCUGGAUGGGGAAGGCCUGGCUGUGCUGCUGGGACACCCGGUGCUGGCGCUGCAGCCCUGCUCCUACGUGUGCUGCGCCGCAGGGGCUCUGAGCGCUGCCAUGGGGGCCCUGGGGGGGCUGGGGGCCCUCCGGGGGGCGCGGGCACCGCUGGGGGUGUUCGCGGUGCUGCUGCUGCUGCUGCUGCUGGCGCAGGUGGUGCUGGGGGUGAUGGCCUACACACAGCGCAGCGCCCUGUGGUGGCGGCUGGGCUCCCAGGCGCAGCAGCAGAUCCGCGGUUACCCCACGGCGGGGGGGGCAGCGAGCGCCGCACAGCGCGGGUGGGACGCCCUGCAGCUCCAGGUCUGCUCUGCCCCACUGCUGCCCCAUAGCUGCCCCAUAGCUGCUCCAUAGAUACCACAUAGCUGCCCCACAGCUGCCCCAUAACUGCCCCAUAGCUGCCCCAUAGGUGCCACAUAGCUGCCCCAUAGCUGCCCCAUAACUGCCCCAUAGAUACCACA